Clostridium botulinum D str. 1873 is the source of this 46-nucleotide non-coding RNA. Lineage: Bacteria; Bacillati; Bacillota; Clostridia; Eubacteriales; Clostridiaceae. The record is from Rfam.
UAAAAGGCUCUUUUUAGAGCUUUUUAUAUUAUCAAAAAUAAGGAGG